RNAcentral lists this ribosomal RNA (402 nucleotides) under uncultured bacterium. RNAcentral describes it as "bacterial SSU rRNA". It matches the Rfam family "Bacterial small subunit ribosomal RNA", at positions 355 to 774 of the family's 1533-position model. The record is from RNAcentral.
UCGGGAAUUUUGGGCAAUGGGCGAAAGCCUGACCCAGCAACGCCGCGUGAGGGAUGAAGUAUUUCGGUAUGUAAACCUCGAAAGAAUGGGAAGAAUAAAUGACGGUACCAUUCAUAAGCUCCGGCUAACUACGUGCCAGCAGCCGCGGGAAUACGUAGGGAGCAAGCGUUGUUAGGAUUUACUGGGCGUAAAGGGCGCGUAGGCGGCGCGGUAAGUCACUUGUGAAAUCUCUGAGCUUAACUCAGAACGGCCAAGUGAUACUGCUGGGCUAGAGUGCGGAAGAGGCAACCGGAAUUCUUGGUGUAGCGGUGAAAUGCGUAGAUAUCAAGAGGAACACCUGAGGCGAAGGCGGGUUGCUGGGCCGACACUGACGCUGAUGCGCGAAAGCCAGGGGAGCAAACG